CGUCGCGGGCCGGGGUGCGGGUGUCGGGCGGCGUGCGGGCUGGGGCUGCGCCCGUGCAGGAUGCCCGCUGCCGGCGAGUGGGUCGCGGGCAGGACACUUCGGAGAGCGGCUCUGCAGACCCUUCAGGGUUCUUGCCUUGGGGCUCAGAGAAUCUGGACUUGGGCUGAGAAGGUUGCAGGGAUUUGGAUGCUAACAUAUCUCCUAGUUUCCAGCGCUCGCCCUGCAGAGCGUGCCAUCUCGGCAGCUGUUGAAAGGUCAAUUGGAAAAGCAUUCAUUCGGGGAGCGACGAGCAAACAUGCACAUAAAAUAGCGUUUCAAGUCGGCCCGGGAUGGUUCUGUGUGAACUGGUGUGUGUGUUCGGGGGGGCGGGGGUGGAAUGAGCAGAAGCCAAGUCUUUGCCUGCGCAGGCUGAGUUGAUAUAGACUAUUGCUGGAAACCAUCCGCUGGGAUGUUUCUUAGGGAAAUCCCGUCGUGUGGAAGGAAGCCUUUUAAAGGCAAAGUCAGAUGUUGAGGAAUUAGCCUUUUCAUAGAAUAAUCAAAGGAUGGCUAUACAGAUCACCUAGAAAAUAAUUCAGUAUUUCGGGUUUCUCUUUUCUGGGAGUGUGAUAACUGAAAUGGUUAGAUUUUGGCUCAGUUAAGAAAAGAAAGGCUUUUUCAAUUUUGCUGUGAGAGUUUGGUCGUCAUCUCAUGGUGAGAAAAUAGCUCUUGAUGAUGCCUUGGAAAUGGAGAGGGCCUGCGGAAGCUGGGAGAGACAGACACGUGAACAAGAAAAUUUAAUCAUUUAAUGGAAACCUCGUUUAAAAUGUGCAUCUCUUCCCCUCUUUCUCUCUUAUGCCUAGAGGAAAGCCAUGAUUUUAAGUGCUUCCAGUUUCUUUUGGCUGGGCCUUUAUUAGAGACUUGAGCCCAUAUAUCCUAAUUAGUGUGGACACUUUUAGAAAUUAAAGCAGUUUAUUUUUCUCUUCUCA
Molecule: non-coding RNA, 965 nt
Organism: Macaca mulatta (Rhesus monkey)
Lineage: Eukaryota; Metazoa; Chordata; Mammalia; Primates; Cercopithecidae
Source: RefSeq, a predicted model, not a curated record